RNAcentral lists this transfer RNA (65 nucleotides) under Tonicina zschaui. Its description in RNAcentral is "tRNA-Asn". The record is from RNAcentral. Lineage: Eukaryota; Metazoa; Mollusca; Polyplacophora; Chitonida; Ischnochitonidae.
UGGAUAAAAGCUUUUCAUAGCAUUUAGCUGUUAACUAAAAAGAAAUAAUAAAAAUAUUUAUUCAG